This 345-nucleotide ribosomal RNA is filed under the name uncultured bacterium. RNAcentral describes it as "bacterial SSU rRNA". It matches the Rfam family "Bacterial small subunit ribosomal RNA", at positions 1092 to 1437 of the family's 1533-position model. The record is from RNAcentral.
ACGAGCGCAACCCCUACUUCUAGUUGCCAUCAGGUUAAGCUGGGCACUCUAGUAGGACUGCCUGUGAUAAGCAGGAGGAAGGUUGGGAUGACGUCAAGUCCUCAUGGCCCUUACGUGUUGGGCCACACACGUGCUACAAUGGCAGUGACAAUGAGAUGCUAAACAGCGAUGUUAAGCUAAACUCAAAAACCUGCCUCAGUUCGGAUUGCACUCUGCAACUCGAGUGCAUGAAGCUGGAAUCGCUAGUAAUCGCUCAUCAGCGCGGAGCGGUGAAUACGUUCCCGGGUCUUGUACACACCGCCCGUGGGGCGGGGGCGGCGGGCCGGGCGCGGGGCGCGGCGGGCG